This 484-nucleotide ribosomal RNA is filed under the name uncultured bacterium. Its description in RNAcentral is "partial 16S ribosomal RNA". It matches the Rfam family "Bacterial small subunit ribosomal RNA", at positions 30 to 507 of the family's 1533-position model. The record is from RNAcentral.
AUUGAACGCUGGCGGCAGGCCUAACACAUGCAAGUCGAGCGGAUGAAGGGAGCUUUCUCCUGGAUUCAGCGGCGGACGGGCGAGUAAUGCCUAGGAAUCUGCCUGGCAGUGGGGGAUAACGUCCGGAAACGGGCGCUAAUACCGCAUACGUCCUUAGGGAGAAAGUGGGGGAUCUUCGGACCUCACGCGAUCAGAUGAGCCUAGGUCGGAUUAGCUAGUUGGUGGGGUAAAGGCCUACCAAGGCGACGAUCCGUAACUGGUCUGAGAGGAUGAUCAGCCACACUGGAACUGAGACACGGUCCAGACUCCUACGGGAGGCAGCAGUGGGGAAUCUUGGGCAAUGGGCGAAAGCCUGAUGCAGCCAUGCCGCGUGUGUGAAGAAGGUCUUCGGAUUGUAAAGCACUUUAAGUUGGGAGGAAGGGCAGUAAGUUAAUACCUUGCUGUUUUGACGUUACCAACAGAAUAAGCCCCGGCUAACUUCGUG